This 502-nucleotide ribosomal RNA is filed under the name uncultured bacterium. RNAcentral describes it as "partial 16S ribosomal RNA". It matches the Rfam family "Bacterial small subunit ribosomal RNA", at positions 30 to 523 of the family's 1533-position model. The record is from RNAcentral.
AUUGAACGCUGGCGGCAUGCCUUACACAUGCAAGUCGAACGGCAGCAUAGGAGCUUGCUCCUGAUGGCGAGUGGCGAACGGGUGAGUAAUAUAUCGGAACGUGCCCUAGAGUGGGGGAUAACUAGUCGAAAGACUAGCUAAUACCGCAUACGAUCUACGGAUGAAAGUGGGGGAUCGCAAGACCUCAUGCUCCUGGAGCGGCCGAUAUCUGAUUAGCUAGUUGGUGGGGUAAAAGCCUACCAAGGCGACGAUCAGUAGCUGGUCUGAGAGGACGACCAGCCACACUGGGACUGAGACACGGCCCAGACUCCUACGGGAGGCGGCAGUGGGGAAUUUUGGACAAUGGGGGCAACCCUGAUCCAGCAAUGCCGCGUGAGUGAAGAAGGCCUUCGGGUUGUAAAGCUCUUUUGUCAGGGAAGAAACGGUAGUAGCUAAUAUCUACUACUAAUGACAGUACCUGAAGAAUAAGCACCGGCUAACUACGUGCCAGCCGCCGCAGUAA